GGGCUCGUAGCUCAGCUUGGUUAGAGCGCACGCCUGAUAAGCGUGAGGUCGGUGGUUCAAAUCCACCCGGGCCCA
This 75-nucleotide transfer RNA is filed under the name Gemmatimonadota bacterium. RNAcentral describes it as "Gemmatimonadetes bacterium tRNA-Ile". It matches the Rfam family "tRNA". Rfam says of the family: Transfer RNA (tRNA) molecules are approximately 80 nucleotides in length. Their secondary structure includes four short double-helical elements and three loops (D, anti-codon, and T loops). Further hydrogen bonds mediate the characteristic L-shaped molecular structure. tRNAs have two regions of fundamental functional importance: the anti-codon, which is responsible for specific mRNA codon recognition, and the 3' end, to which the tRNAs corresponding amino acid is attached (by aminoacyl-tRNA synthetases). tRNAs cope with the degeneracy of the genetic code in two manners: having more than one tRNA (with a specific anti-codon) for a particular amino acid; and 'wobble' base-pairing, i.e. permitting non-standard base-pairing at the 3rd anti-codon position. RNAcentral also lists the same sequence under 7 other names. Lineage: Bacteria; Pseudomonadati; Gemmatimonadota. The record is from RNAcentral.